CCACAAGACUUUGGGCCCAUCCAUUAAUUGGAUGGAAGACUAUUUAAGAAAAGAAUAGGUUGUUGCUGGAAGAAGUGUUAGUGAGGCAACCUUGUAGUCUGUGUGUGGACCCAAAUGUCCCAGUACACUGAUGGGAACACUAUGCUGAAACCGAUGCCAUCUUUCGGAUAGGACUUAAAACCGAGGUCCUGACUUUCUGCGGUCAUGAAAGAUCUCUGGGUAUAUUUUGAAAAGAGUUGAGUAUAUCCUGAUGUGCUAGGUAAAUUGUCCACCACAGCCUGGUCAUUCUGACCCCAUAAUCAUCCCCAGCCCCUUUUUGGCUAACUCUCUUUAUCACUCUUUCACCAUCUAAUAGCUAAUGUGUGGUGAGCCUAGUGGUGAAAAAAAUGGCUGCCAUCCCAUCAUCCAGAUGGAUUCUGAACAUCGGUAGUGGUUGACCUUGCAUCCAUGUGAAGCAUUUGCAGUCGAUUAGAAAAGUGCUAUAUAAAUGUAAUUUAUGUAAUUGAACUUAAUGGUGCACUCCUUUCACUGACACACUAUGGCAUAGUGGAAUAGCAUCCAAACUGUUCCCAGAAAGCUGCAUGUUCAUUUGCCAUCACAUGCUUACUGUGAGACCCUGAGUUAAGCCUUUCACCAUUCCUGUUCUCCAACUGUAGAAAGAACAAAUAUAAUAAUUGUUUCUUGUGAAAUAGUGGCCUCAUUGUAACACACUGUAGAGUUUGAGCCCACACUCCUGUUGCUGAGUGGGUAUCAAACAGAUUUAACAAAACACCCUCCAAUUUUGUUAGCCAUUCUAACGUGUGGUAAUUUAUAGAGAGUACUGGAAGGAAAUGGUAGGCAGUAGAUGCAGUGCAACAGACAGCACAAAGUUGUUGUGGGCCGAGUGGCAAAUGAUAGAGCUGGCUUUGGGAGUGAGGUAACUCGAUAUGACACUGUCAGCCUGAAAGGGAGAAGAAACUUUGUACAGCAGGAGGUGUGGACUGAGGUGGAGGAGGAAAGGAUCAACAAAAUUAUGCUUGGAUGACAUGGGAAAUCUGGCAAUGGAAUCUACAAAGGAUUAGGUUUUUAAUCCAGGGAGUCUACGAUGUUCUUACAAUUCUGUCCAAGUUAUUUGUACUGAACUUUGCUGAAACACUAGCGUGUACCCUGUGUUCCAAGACAUCGACCCUGGAACACAUAGUAAGCAGUUGCUCUAAGGCUAUGUGUGAAGGACGAUGUCCCUCAAGUCCAUUGCGGAGACCAUCAGCAAGGGGAUAAGGGAAUUCAGAGGGUCAAUCGUCCAGUGAAGCUGAUUGCCUGUGUGAAAGAGGGAGAGCAGCUACAACAGAGGGGCCAGUACUGGGAGAGCAGCCUGCUUUUCUCUGCACAGAAAUUGGUGUUGCAGGUCAAUUUGAAAUUCCACCACCUUUCACAAAGAGUCCACUGAGCUCAGACAUCACCACAAGACAGGUCAUCAUACUGAAACUGAAUGUUCUGUAGAAGAGUGGAUGGACACAAAAUACGCAGAACAGGUGGAUGAUUGCCGCAGACAAGGGUGGAGGUCAAAGUGUAUGCCCAUCAAGGUGGGCUGAAGGGGCUAUGCAGGCCAGUCCCUUAGUAAGGUCUAUGGAGUCCUGGGUAUGAUGGGAUGGGGCUGAACACAGAAAGCUAUCAGAUCCAACACAGAGGCAGCAGGGAGAGCCUCUAGGUGGACACAAGCAAGGCGUGAUAAACCUCAGCAGGGUCACCUGGAUGAGGGUGUCUGAUGUUCAAAAGACCCACAAUGCCCCCCAAUUCCAGGCAGCAUCAGAUAUGAUGUGUCCAAGUUUGUGCCUCAUUGGAUGUAUUCUCAAAGUGCAUCUACCAAUUGACUCGAAGACAAACUCUCAAGUCCCAUUUAAAGCCGACAUCUUCAGAGAAUUGACUUUUCACUUGUAAUUCUUUUUGCUGUUUUGUUUUUUUGUUGUUGACCAGUUGUAUAAAUGUUCUUGUUAUUAAUUUCUGUAUUAAAAAUAGAAAGUCUUGAUUCUGGAAUGCAGCAGUAUCUGCAGGUCUUUGUGCCCAUGCCGGAUUUAUGAAGUCCAUUUCUGUUCAUGAAGUCUUCUGCAGGUAGUCGUCUCUGACACAAACACAUCGGCCUCCUGAAGGCUGCUUCUGAUCUAUUGGACUGGCGUUUGGGGCUUUUUCUUUACCAUAAGGAGGAUUCUUUUUUCAUCAGCAGUGGAGAUCUUCCUUGGCCUACCAGUUCUUUUGUGAUUACUGAGCUUUAUUCCUAAUGAUAUUUCAGACACUUGUGUUACCGUUGUCUCUAAUGGUUUUAUUGUUUUUCAGCUUCAUAACGGCUUCUUUGAUUUUCAUUGUCACAGCUCUUGUCCUCAUGUUGAACAAUGACAACUACUGACUCCAAAUGGUAGAAGAAAGUCGAGGUAACUUAUGAAGCAAUGUAACCCACCUGAGGAAUCACAAACACCUAUUAUGCCAAAUGUCAGAAACAUUAUGGUACCCUGAAAUGGAGGAGAGUGUGUCUUAAAAUUAUUGUCAUUUCUACAUGAUUUACCCAAAAUGUAUGCAAAUAUCCUUAAAGUCUGCAACAUGCACUUUAAUCACAUUUGAAUUAUUUGAUUUGUAAUUUCAAACUGUGCAGCAGAGGGGUAAUUGAAGGAAAUAAGUGUCUUUGUCCCAAACAUCACGCAGUACCAAUAAACCUCCUUUUCAAAGUUUCA
This is a long non-coding RNA of Erpetoichthys calabaricus (reedfish), 2702 nucleotides long. RefSeq lists it as uncharacterized. The record is from RefSeq and is a predicted model, not a curated record. The transcript has 2 exons. NCBI's taxonomy places the organism in Eukaryota, Metazoa, Chordata, Cladistia, Polypteriformes, Polypteridae.